AUGCGCGUGAUGGUCAGAGGACAACUCUGGGGAGUUGGUUCUCUCCGUUCACCAUGUGGUGUGGUCUCUAGGGAUUGAAUCAGGUCACCAGUCUUGGUGGCAAGCACCUUUACCCUCUGUGGCAUCUUGACCACUGGGUUACAGAGAAUUUAGAACACAAGAUAAAGAUGUCAGGAGGAGGAGGAGGCAGCUGACUGGGAUCUGUUCAUUCACCCUGUAGGUGACUAUUACAGCGCAUCUGAAUGCCCAUGACAGACAUGUUUCUGGCCUCAUAGAACCUCUGUGCAGCCGGGGGAAGACAAAUCAUUGUGAGACGCUUUGGUCUGACAACAGAAAAACCGAGAGUUGAGGGGACUUCAGAGUUUGGUGGAAAGCCAGCUAGACUGGCUUCCCCUUUUAAAGCAUUCAGACAGACGUGGGAGAAAGUAAGGGGCUUCCAUGAGUUCGGGAGGAAAGUCCUUCUUAGCAGAGAAGAGCGAUGUUGAAGAUUGCAUCAGCAGGAACUUCGUCACCGAGGAACUGGCGAGAACAAACAGCUGGAGUGAGGUGGGGUGAAAAAGUAGACCCAGGAGCUACCUACCGAGCCACUCGCUCUGGGGACAAGCUGGAUGAGACAGACAGCUGACUGAGCUUCCAGCAGAGGAGGGGCAGACUUGACCUUCAUCUCAGAAGGGUCACUGAAGCUGGAGUGUUCUUUAUCCCCCCCCCCCCCCCCCGGGAAGCAACAUCAGGAACAGAUACCACGGAAGGCUAGUGAAACAAAAGAAGCCGGCAAUGCUUUCAAGUUUAGCCGCUUUGGGGGGGAAGCGUUCUAGGGAAGCGUUUGGAGAGCCUGAAACUCCGAGGAUGGGCAUCCUUGUGUUGGAAACUGGAGCUCCCGAGCGUUGGGAAAACUGCAAAGUGGGUUCAGCUGCUGCCAAGGAAGGCGCUGCUGAUGCCAGGGUGAAGAAGUGUUGCCAGGGCGACGUUACAGGAACAGGAAGCCAAUAGAAAUAAGCAAGCCCCUUCUUCCUGCUGCUGCGUUCCCAGCAUCUGCCCUGCGCUCUUCCCUGGCAGCGCAAAGCGGAAAGCAACCGUGGUCUUCCGAGCCAGCUCCAGCAUCACGCACGGCACGGAUAGAAGGUGAAUGUGACAUGAAGAGGCAAUCGCUGAGCUAACAAAAACACGGAUUAACAUAAAUGAAGGGAAUGUACAAGUUUCCAGAACUAGAGAAUUCAGUUGAGAAGUGAGCCUGCUGGAAGAAUGACACUGUUUAACAUAGUAGGGCCAUUUGGAGGCUGAAGAGGUGGCUCAGCAGUUAAGAACGCUGGGCUGCACUUUCAGGGGACCGGGCUUCAGUUCCCAGCACCAACUAUACGUGACUCCAGUUCCAGAGGAAAUGAUAACCUCUCCUGGCCUCCACAGUCAUUGUAUGUUCAAGGUGCAUACACUCACAAGGCAAACAAAACACCUACUCAAAUAAAAU
This 1465-nucleotide long non-coding RNA is filed under the name Mus caroli (Ryukyu mouse). Its description in RNAcentral is "predicted gene 12968 (MGP_CAROLIEiJ_G0005924.1)". The record is from RNAcentral. Lineage: Eukaryota; Metazoa; Chordata; Mammalia; Rodentia; Muridae.